This 506-nucleotide ribosomal RNA is filed under the name uncultured bacterium. RNAcentral describes it as "bacterial SSU rRNA". It matches the Rfam family "Bacterial small subunit ribosomal RNA", at positions 8 to 509 of the family's 1533-position model. The record is from RNAcentral.
AGAGUUUGAGUCCUGGCUCGAGGACGAACGCUGGCGGCGUGCUUAACACAUGCAAGUCGAACGAGAAUCGACUGGAAGGAGAUUUCGGGUCAACGGAAGGUGAGGACAGUGGCGACGGGUGAGUAACGCGUGAGGAACCUGCCUUUCAGAGGGGGACAACAGUUGGAAACGACUGCUAAUACCGCAUAACGCAUAGUUGUCGCAUGGCGACUAUGCCAAAGAUUUAUCGCUGAAAGAUGGCCUCGCGUCUGAUUAGCUAGUUGGCGGGGUAACGGCCCACCAAGGCGACGAUCAGUAGCCGGACUGAGAGGUUGGCCGGCCACAUUUGGGACUGAGAGACGGCCCAGACUCCUACGGGAGGCAGCAGUGGGGAAUAUUGGGCAAUGGGCGCAAGCCUGACCCAGCAACGCCGCGUGAAGGAAGAAGGCUUUCGGGUUGUAAACUUCUUUUGUUGGGGACGAGAGGAAGACGGUACCCGACGAAUAAGCCACGGCUAACUACGUGCC